Molecule: long non-coding RNA, 925 nt
Organism: Alligator mississippiensis (American alligator)
Lineage: Eukaryota; Metazoa; Chordata; Crocodylia; Alligatoridae
Exons: 2
Source: RefSeq, a predicted model, not a curated record
AGAACUGGGUGAACUUCUCCAGCCGUUCAGGACUCAGCUCCUUAGUUCUGCCUGAUGCAAGGAAGCAAAACACUCCAGAUGAACAGAAAACCCGGAUUCCUGUUUAUUGUGACCCAGCCUACUGAUGUUGUAACCCUAUUUGGGAUUGUGACCCACAGUUUGGGAACCGCUGGCCUAAAGCCUAUGCCUGGAAUAUCUGCAGAAGAGAAGGGUCACAUUGUUGACUACUGUGAACUGACAUGGAUGGUGGUGGUGCAGGGCCCAGGAGCACCCUUGGAAGAACUGCUAUGUGGCUGAAGCAGAGAGUACCCAAUUUUCUCCAUCUGGAGAUCUGGGUCACUGACUUCAGCAGAAUGCAGCCAAUUCACCACCUGGGGACCUGGCACAGGCAGAUGUAAAGUGCUAUGGGGAGUUGUAAAAUGCACAUCAGGUUCCAAGCCCUGGGCAGGAUCCAUCAGACCUGUGGGCACAGCUCCAUGACUGUGACUUAGCUCUUGCUGAGUGUAACAGGCAGCUGGAUGCUAGCCGCACUCUGGGUCGCAGGGCUCCCAGCACCAAGCCCACUUGGCUCAUCCAUCUCAGUCCCCACCAGCAAGUUCAGCCACAUGCAAUCUCAUUCAUUUUCCUUAGCAGCCACUGCCUGUUCAUAUCCCUUCCACUGCUGCUGCUGGGCAGAGGUCAGAUAAUGGAGGGGAAGAAAGCAGGGGAGGUCUCUCCUCCCUCAAGGGAAGAAGAAAUGAGAAGCUGGAGAAAUGGGAGAAAAAGAGGAGUAGGAAAAGCAGAGAGUGAGAAGAAUACUACUGAGGCUUUGGGUUUAUCCAGUGCUCUCCAUGUUUCCCAUAGCACCUCCCCAAGGCAGAGAGAAGGGAAAGCCAAAGGACCAGAGAAUUGCAAGGCUGUCAGAGACCUUAGGAGAUCAGCUAGU